CCUUUGACGAAGAACGCUAACGCGCCUGCGCAACCGGCUUAUUUUGAUACGAGGUUCGAAAACAGUUGCUAUAAAAUAUUUGGCGUUGGUCAGACAUUUGUAAUUUGUGAAAUUGAGCAGUGAUAUCCAACAAUUAAGAUGAAUAUUCAACUGAAGUAAAUUCGGUUGCAGUGAAGUGAGUGAAGGAAAUUGUGUGUACUACCGGGAUGACUAGAUAGAAGAAAAGGAAUGAUCUAAGGGUCUUAGGGCAACAGUCUUCUUCCCUUUCAUAGGGGUGGGCUGCUAAGGGAUCUCCCUGAGAUCAUUCCCAACUUUAGCCAACGAUGGACCAAAAAGAGCGAAUCGGCGCUUAUAGAGAAAAGAAGUAAUUCCACUUGAACAAAAUCAACUACAGCAACUUCUGAUGGAAAACAAUAAAUUCCAGGUUAUCGGCAGAGUAAUACUCUCCGCUGAAAAUUAUUUCAGAGGACUCGGAAGAAAUAAAAUCAAGAUGAAGAAGAUCAGAAGGGUAGGAAAUACUCUAGCAACCAUUUACAAUUCAGCCACAUGAUAGCGAGAGAAAAGAAGUAAUUCCUUUGGAACAAAAUCAACUGCGGCGAAUUAUGAUGGAGAACAAUAAAUUCCAGGCAAAGCAAGACUUUCCGCUGAAAAUUUUUUCAGAGGACUCGGAAGAAAGAAAAUCAAGAUAAUGAAGAUCAAAAGGGUGGAAAAUAAUUAAUCGACAAUUCAGAUGAAUAAAAUGAAAGUGGAAGAUGUAGAGAAAAUCAAUAGCGAGAGAAAAGAAGAAAUUCCUUUAGAACAGAAUCAACUACAGCAACUUCUAAUGGAAAACAAUAAAUUCCAGUCAAAGCAAGACUUUCCGCUGAAAAUUAUUUCAGAGAGAAAAUAAGUAAUUCCACUGGAACGAAAUCAACUACAGCAACUUGAGAUGGAAAACAAUAAAUUCCAGGCAAAGCAAGACUUUCCGCUGAAAAUUUUUUCAGGAGACCGGGAAGAAAAAAAAAUCAAGAUGAUGACGAUCAGAAGGGUAGGAAAUACUCAAGCAAUGGGCAAAUCAGCCACAUGAUAGCGAGAGAAAAGAAGUAAUUCCACUUGAACAAAAUCAACUACGCCUACAUAUGAUGGAAAACAAUAAAUUCCAGGCAAAGCAAGACUUUCCGAUGAAAAUUAUUUCAGAGGACUCGGAAGAAAGAAAAUCAAGAUGAAGAAGAUCAGAAGGGAAAGGAAAUACUCAAUCAAUGGACACUUCAGAUGAAUAAGACAAAAGUGGAGGCUUGUGAUCAUUUGGAAGAUGAAGCGAGAGAAAAGAAGUAAUUCCACUAGGACAAAUUAUCUGGAAGAAAAGUUUCAGUUCCUCCAAUGGUAACGGAUAUCGAGACGACAAGAUUUUUUUACUAGGU
Long non-coding RNA from Coccinella septempunctata (seven-spotted ladybird), 1400 nucleotides. RefSeq lists it as uncharacterized. The record is from RefSeq and is a predicted model, not a curated record. Lineage: Eukaryota; Metazoa; Arthropoda; Insecta; Coleoptera; Coccinellidae. The transcript has 12 exons.